This 397-nucleotide ribosomal RNA is filed under the name uncultured bacterium. RNAcentral describes it as "bacterial SSU rRNA". It matches the Rfam family "Bacterial small subunit ribosomal RNA", at positions 64 to 507 of the family's 1533-position model. The record is from RNAcentral.
GAACGAGACCUUCGGGUCUAGUGGCGCACGGGUGCGUAACGCGUGGGAAUCUGCCCUUGGGUUCGGAAUAACAGUUAGAAAUGACUGCUAAUACCGGAUGAUGACGUAAGUCCAAAGAUUUAUCGCCCAAGGAUGAGCCCGCGUAGGAUUAGCUUGUUGGUGAGGUAAAAGCUCACCAAGGCGACGAUCCUUAGCUGGUAUGAGAGGAUGAUCAGCCACACUGGGACUGAGACACGGCCCAGACUCCUACGGGAGGCAGCAGUGGGGAAUAUUGGACAAUGGGCGAAAGCCUGAUCCAGCAAUGCCGCGUGAGUGAUGAAGGCCUUAGGGUUGUAAAGCUAUUUUACCCGGGAUGAUAAUGACAGUACCGGGAGAAUAAGCUCCGGCUAACUCCGUG